CUUGCAUGAUGCUUGAAAUUUCCAUCCACCCACAAAGCUGUUUUUAUAGCCUACUGCACUGUUGCAUAUCUAGUUCCUUACACUUUUUUUGAAAGUGCCUGGUUUGUGGUUGAUUGGCUUGUUGUAUUGCAUUAGCACUAUAUAUUUGAUUAUGUGGAAGGGCUGGGAGUUGGGGAACGGAGACGGCGGCACCACGGUUAGCAAGCAAUGAGUGCUUCCGGGAAUGCGAAAGAGCCGCCAGACCCAUUGGAACUGGCGUUUGGUGGACUGGGAUGUGAUCAUGCAUUGUUAAGCAUGGAUAAGUUUGAAACUAAUGAUUUGGAGGAGUUGUCAGGGGAGCAUGAUAGUGAGAGUAGGCCUACUAUAAAUAAGUGAAGGUGACGAAGGUGAAUGGAAUUUAAUUCAAAGAGCAUCGAAGAAAAGAAAGGGAAAUACUAAACUAGAUGAAACAAAAAGAGUUAGGACUGAGGUUAAAGUAGUGAUUCGAUUUCAAACCCCCUGUGCAUUAAACCCAUUAAAAGUCAGUGAAGCAAUUUAUAAGCAAAUAGGAGGUCGAAGUUCGCUCCGUCAGAACGCUAAGAGAUGGUAACCUGUUAGUGGUUUGUCAAGACAGAGAUCAGAGAAUGGGAUUGAAGAAACUUAAAACGUUACUGGAAAAGUGUUAAAGCCCAAGACUGCCCACACAGCAAAAGGACUCUGCGGUGGUAUGACGGCUUCCGGAACGGACCCGUGAAACGGACCCGUAUUGGAGUCCAGAUGCUCUCAGGAACGGAUCCGCUAUGAAGGCUCCGCACUGCAUCCACUCCGCAUCCGCGAUUAAAACCUUACCUCCACGGCGAGUCCGUUUGGGAUCCGCAAAUUGAUACAUACAUCCGCCGCGGACCCGCAACGGACUCAAAGGCUCAUCUGGCCCGGGUCCGUUUUGGACCCGUUUAUCUCAUUUUCAAAAUUCCUUCUGUUCUUGCUGUAGGAUAAAACUAAGCAACUAUAGGAUAAAAGUAAAACUAUCACUAGGCCUAGCCUAGGCUACUACAGCAAUAUAGGCCUACGAUUAAUCUGCAUUGCCUCGUAUUUUUAACUUAACAAUACUGUCAAUAAACCUAACAGAAAAGGUUUAAGUCAAGACAUCAAUUUACUGUACAAACGUGAUCACUACUCAAUGGAAAUAUAAAAUGGACAUUUAUGGAAAGUUACAGGUUAUAAGCUAUUCUGUUUUUGUUAAGUAGCCUACAUUGCCUAGGCUACUUUACAUUCAUUUUGUGGUCAAAACCUAAUUUAGUGCUUUAUAGGCCUAGGUCAGUGCAGACAUGAAAUAUUUUAUCUAAUAGGCUACAACUUCAAUGAAAUACUGCGCUAUGCACAGCUAAAAUAUCAGAAAAUGAAUAACUGGUGAAUGACAAGAAGUUCAAUAAAAAGAUUGUUUAAUGCUUA
This is a long non-coding RNA of Alosa alosa (allis shad), 1431 nucleotides long. RefSeq lists it as uncharacterized. Lineage: Eukaryota; Metazoa; Chordata; Actinopteri; Clupeiformes; Clupeidae. The transcript is spliced from 2 exons. The record is from RefSeq and is a predicted model, not a curated record.